Long non-coding RNA from Limulus polyphemus (Atlantic horseshoe crab), 715 nucleotides. RefSeq lists it as uncharacterized. NCBI's taxonomy places the organism in Eukaryota, Metazoa, Arthropoda, Merostomata, Xiphosura, Limulidae. The record is from RefSeq and is a predicted model, not a curated record. The transcript has 3 exons.
ACGGUGAUGAUGAUAAUAUCUGUGUAGACUGCACACUAUGUUGUAAUUAUCUUUGUAGACCACACGCUACAGUAGCACCGAUUUUACUUUCAACGAGACAGUGAUGGUCACUUUUGAAAAAACCCUCACAUCUGUGAUCACAUUAAAGCUUUUGUUCAUAGAUAUUUAUAAAUAGCUAUAUUUCUAACAUAACUUAGCUCCUAGUGUUAGAUUACACAGACUAUAAGGUAAGAUGUGAAGCAAAGCUCCUAGUGUUAGAUUACACAGACUAUAAGGUAAGAUGUGAAGCAAAGGUCCUAGUGUUAGAUCAUCCAGACUAUGAUAAGGUAAAAUGUGAAGCAAAGCUCCUAGUGUUAGAUUACACAGACUGUAAGGUAAGAUGUGAAGCAAAGCUCCUAGUGUUAGAUUACACAGUCUGUAAGGUAAGGUGUGAAGCAAAGCUCCUAGUGUUAGAUUAUCCAGACUAUGAUAAGGUAAGAUGUAAAGCAAAGCUCCUAGUGUUAGAUUAUCCAGACUAUGAUAAGGUAAAAUGUGAAGCAAAGCUCCUAGUGUUAGAUCAUCCAGACUAUGAUAAGGUAAAAUGUGAAGCAAAGGUCCUAGUGUUAGAUCAUCCAGACUAUGAUAAGGUAAAAUGUGAAGCAAAGCUCCUAGUGUUAGAUCAUCCAGACUAUGAUAAGGUAAGAUGUGAAGCAAAGCUCCUAGUGUUAGAUUAUCC